GCUCGUAGGCGGUUCGUCGCGUCCGGUGUGAAAGUCCAUCGCUUAACGGUGGAUCCGCGCCGGGUACGGGCGGGCUUGAGUGCGGUAGGGGAGACUGGAAUUCCCGGUGUAACGGUGGAAUGUGUAGAUAUCGGGAAGAACACCAAUGGCGAAGGCAGGUCUCUGGGCCGUCACUGACGCUGAGGAGCGAAAGCGUGGGGAGCGAACA
This 208-nucleotide ribosomal RNA is filed under the name uncultured bacterium. Its description in RNAcentral is "partial 16S ribosomal RNA". It matches the Rfam family "Bacterial small subunit ribosomal RNA", at positions 567 to 774 of the family's 1533-position model. The record is from RNAcentral.